UUGAACGCUGGCGGCAUGCCUAACACAUGCAAGUCGAACGCGAAAGAGGGGCAACUCUUGAGUAGAGUGGCGGACGGGUGAGUAAUACGUAGGAAUCUGCCCUAAAGUGGGGGAUAACCCGGGGAAACUCGGGCUAAUACCGCAUAAUAUCUUAGGAUUAAAGCAGGGGACCGCAAGGCCUUGUGCUUUAGGAUGAGCCUACGCCAGAUUAGCUAGUUGGUAGGGUAAUGGCCUACCAAGGCAACGAUCUGUAGCUGGUUUGAGAGAACGACCAGCCACACUGGGACUGAGAUACGGCCCAGACUCCUACGGGAGGCAGCAGUGGGGAAUAUUGGACAAUGGGGGCAACCCUGAUCCAGCAAUGCCGCGUGUGCGAUGAAGGCCUGCGGGUUGUAAAGCACUUUCGGUUGGGAAGAAAUACUCAAAGAUAAUAUCUUUGAGGGUUGACGUUACUAACAUAAGAAGCACCGGCUAACUCUGU
Molecule: ribosomal RNA, 481 nt
Filed under: uncultured bacterium
Lineage: Bacteria
Description: bacterial SSU rRNA
Rfam family: Bacterial small subunit ribosomal RNA
Source: RNAcentral